UUUUGGACAAUGGGCGAAAGCCUGAUCCAGCAAUGCCGCGUGAGUGAUGAGGGCCUUAGGGUUGUAAAGCUCUUUUACCCGGGAUGAUAAUGACAGUACCGGGAGAAUAAGCUCCGGCUAACUCCGUGCCAGCAGCCGCGGUAAUACGGAGGGAGCUAGCGUUGUUCGGAAUUACUGGGCGUAAAGCGCACGUAGGCGGCUUUGUAAGUUAGAGGUGAAAGCCUGGAGCUCAACUCCAGAAUUGCCUUUGAUACUGCAUCGCUUGAAUCCAGGAGAGGUGAGUGGAAUUCCGAGUGUAGAGGUGAAAUUCGUAGAUAUUCGGAAGCAACACCAGUGGCGAAGGCGGCUCACUGGACUGGUAUUGACGCUGAGGUGCGAAA
Molecule: ribosomal RNA, 380 nt
Filed under: uncultured bacterium
Lineage: Bacteria
Description: bacterial SSU rRNA
Rfam family: Bacterial small subunit ribosomal RNA
Source: RNAcentral